This 497-nucleotide ribosomal RNA is filed under the name uncultured bacterium. RNAcentral's name for it is "partial 16S ribosomal RNA". It matches the Rfam family "Bacterial small subunit ribosomal RNA", at positions 28 to 507 of the family's 1533-position model. The record is from RNAcentral.
GAUGAACGCUGGCGGCGUGCCUAAUACAUGCAAGUCGAGCGAACGGACGAGAAGCUUGCCUCUCUGCUGUUAGCGGCGGACGGGUGAGUAACACGUGGAUAACCUACCUAUAAGACUGGGAUAACUUCGGGAAACCGGAGCUAAUACCGGAUAAUAUUUUGAACCGCAUGGUUCAACAGUGAAAGACGGUCUUGCUGUCACUUAUAGAUGGAUCCGCGCUGCAUUAGCUAGUUGGUAAGGUAACGGCUUACCAAGGCGACGAUGCAUAGCCGACCUGAGAGGGUGAUCGGCCACACUGGAACUGAGACACGGUCCAGACUCCUACGGGAGGCAGCAGUGGGGAAUCUUCCGCAAUGGGCGAAAGCCUGACGGAGCAACGCCGCGUGAGUGAUGAAGGUCUUCGGAUCGUAAAACUCUGUUAUUAGGGAAGAACAGAUGUGUAAGUAACUGUGCACACCUUGACGGUACCUAAUCAGAAAGCCACGGCUAACUACGUG